GAGGGUAGAGCUCAGGGGUGGAGUGUGUGCUUAGCAUGCACAAAGUCCUGGGUUCAACCCCCAGCACCUCCA
This is a transfer RNA of Camelus ferus (Wild Bactrian camel), 72 nucleotides long. It matches the Rfam family "tRNA". Rfam says of the family: Transfer RNA (tRNA) molecules are approximately 80 nucleotides in length. Their secondary structure includes four short double-helical elements and three loops (D, anti-codon, and T loops). Further hydrogen bonds mediate the characteristic L-shaped molecular structure. tRNAs have two regions of fundamental functional importance: the anti-codon, which is responsible for specific mRNA codon recognition, and the 3' end, to which the tRNAs corresponding amino acid is attached (by aminoacyl-tRNA synthetases). tRNAs cope with the degeneracy of the genetic code in two manners: having more than one tRNA (with a specific anti-codon) for a particular amino acid; and 'wobble' base-pairing, i.e. permitting non-standard base-pairing at the 3rd anti-codon position. Lineage: Eukaryota; Metazoa; Chordata; Mammalia; Artiodactyla; Camelidae. The record is from Rfam.